AAAAUAAUGUCGUUCUACGUUCAAGCUUUGUGUUUGUCUUAGGAUCAUAAAUAUUUGGAAUGCAUAAAUCCUUGUUUCAAAAAACCGUGUGCGCAACAAAUCAGGGUACUAUUGCAUCCCCGAUAACUACGAUCCGUACAACUGUCUAUUAAAACGAAAUAAAUGUAAAAUGUUACAAAUUAAAAGAAAAAAAAAAUGCAUUUACU
This 206-nucleotide long non-coding RNA is filed under the name Vigna radiata. RNAcentral describes it as "long non-coding RNA (VRAD_LNC007514)". The record is from RNAcentral. Lineage: Eukaryota; Viridiplantae; Streptophyta; Magnoliopsida; Fabales; Fabaceae.